GAUGGACGCUGGCGGUAUGCUUAACACAUGCAAGUCGAACGGACUCUUCGGAGUUAGUGGCGGACGGGUGAGUAACGCGUGAGAAUCUGGCUUUGGGUUCGGGACAACCACUGGAAACGGUGGCUAAUACCGGAUGUGCCGAGAGGUAAAAGAGAAAUUGCCUGAAGAUGAGCUCGCGUCUGAUUAGCUAGUUGGUGAGGUAAAGGCUCACCAAGGCAGCGAUCAGUAGCUGGUCUGAGAGGAUGACCAGCCACACUGGGACUGGGACACGGCCCAGACUCCUACGGGAGGCAGCAGUGGGGAAUUUUCCGCAAUGGGCGAAAGCCUGACGGAGCAAUACCGCGUGAGGGAAGAAGGCUCUUGGGUUGUAAACCUCUUUUCUUAGGGAAGAACAAAAUGACGGUACCUAAGGAAUCAGCAUCGGCUAACUCCGUG
Molecule: ribosomal RNA, 435 nt
Filed under: uncultured bacterium
Lineage: Bacteria
Description: partial 16S ribosomal RNA
Rfam family: Bacterial small subunit ribosomal RNA
Source: RNAcentral